UGGGGAAUCUUGGACAAUGGGGGCAACCCUGAUCCAGCCAUGCCGCGUGAGUGAUGAAGGCCUUAGGGUCGUAAAGCUCUUUCGCCUGUGAAGAUAAUGACGGUAGCAGGUAAAGAAACCCCGGCUAACUCCGUGCCAGCAGCCGCGGUAAUACGGAGGGGGUUAGCGUUGUUCGGAAUUACUGGGCGUAAAGCGCACGUAGGCGGACCAGAAAGUUGGGGGUGAAAUCCCGGGGGCUCAACCCCGGAACUGCCUCCAAAACUAUUGGUCUAGAGUUCGAGAGAGGUGAGUGGAAUUCCAAGUGUAGAGGUGAAAUUCGUAGAUAUUUGGAGGAACACCAGUGGCGAAGGCGGCUCACUGGCUCGAUACUGACGCUGAGGUGCGAAAGUGUGGGGAGCAAACAGGAUUAGAUACCCCUGGUAGUCCACACCGUAAAACGAUGAAUGCCAGUCGUCGGGUAGCAUGCUAUUCGGUGACACACCUAACGGAUUAAGCAUUCCGCCU
Molecule: ribosomal RNA, 504 nt
Filed under: uncultured bacterium
Lineage: Bacteria
Description: bacterial SSU rRNA
Rfam family: Bacterial small subunit ribosomal RNA
Source: RNAcentral